UACGGGGGGGGCGAGCGUUGUUCGGAAUUACUGGGCGUAAAGGGCGCGUAGGCGGUGCUCUAAGUCGGAUGUGAAAACUCUGGGCUCAACCCAGAGCCUGCAUCCGAAACUGGAGUGCUAGAGUUCUGGAGGGGGUAGCGGAAUUCCUGGUGUAGCGGUGAAAUGCGUAGAUAUCGAGAGGAACACCAGUGGCGAAGGCGGCUUCCUGGCCUGUAACUGACGCUGAGACGCGAAAGCGUGGGGAGCGAACCGG
Molecule: ribosomal RNA, 253 nt
Filed under: uncultured prokaryote
Description: partial 16S ribosomal RNA
Rfam family: Bacterial small subunit ribosomal RNA
Source: RNAcentral